GCCCUCUUAGCUCAGUGGUAGUAGCGCGUCACUAGUAAUGACGAGGUCGGUCGUUCAAAUCGGCCAGGGGGCA
Transfer RNA from Sphaerobolus stellatus SS14, 73 nucleotides. It matches the Rfam family "tRNA". Rfam says of the family: Transfer RNA (tRNA) molecules are approximately 80 nucleotides in length. Their secondary structure includes four short double-helical elements and three loops (D, anti-codon, and T loops). Further hydrogen bonds mediate the characteristic L-shaped molecular structure. tRNAs have two regions of fundamental functional importance: the anti-codon, which is responsible for specific mRNA codon recognition, and the 3' end, to which the tRNAs corresponding amino acid is attached (by aminoacyl-tRNA synthetases). tRNAs cope with the degeneracy of the genetic code in two manners: having more than one tRNA (with a specific anti-codon) for a particular amino acid; and 'wobble' base-pairing, i.e. permitting non-standard base-pairing at the 3rd anti-codon position. Lineage: Eukaryota; Fungi; Basidiomycota; Agaricomycetes; Geastrales; Sphaerobolaceae. The record is from Rfam.